Molecule: long non-coding RNA, 1269 nt
Filed under: Lathyrus oleraceus (garden pea)
Lineage: Eukaryota; Viridiplantae; Streptophyta; Magnoliopsida; Fabales; Fabaceae
Description: Pisum sativum (pea) long non-coding RNA (PSAT_LNC032120)
Source: RNAcentral
AAAUAUGAAUGAAUCCUUGUAAAAUAAAAGAGAUAAGGAAAGAGAAAGAUACAAAGAGAUAUAUAGUGCUUCGACAUUCAUCCUCGCUUUGCCUAUGCGCUUUUUUCAAUGGAUGAUGUCAUCGAAACAUAAUCACAGUCUUCCACUAUUUUGAUAAAAUGAUUACAAAUUUUUGAUUAUAAAGAACUAUCACACGAUAAUUCCCUCUGAUUAUGCAUCCACUAAACUACUAACAAAAAUAAGAUCCCUCAAGAUCUUGAGCCAAUAACCUGCUCCAAGUAUUUCGUGUGUGGCGAUCCCUUGAUCCCAUUGAUUUCUCGUCUGAGCGAUUGCCUUUAACUGAGUGUAUAUUGAAAAACUCCCAACUUUGUCUGCAAGCAAUCUUUCUCCAAUGCCACCAAAGAAUGACAACUUCCAACUCCACCCUUACAGACUGUUGAUACUUGAUCUUGACAAAGUCUUCCUUCGAGUAUAUUGGAAACACUCAUCUUGAUAGAUAACAACUUAAUACCAAACAUCACUCAAGAAAUGAUACCUGCACCUGUUACAUAAAAACUAGCUACACACAAAAACAUUAGAUAACCUAAUGUACCACUUGUCUCCCUUACACUUAAUCUUUAGAGGAGAGUCAAUAAUCAAAGGAAAAGGCUAAGGAUGAAGAUGGUGAACAGUGCCACAUAAUCUGAACCAACCACUGACAUUACAAGGUGUUAGUCAAGUAAUUCAGUUUUGAUGAAUGAAGAAUACACACAGGGUUCAAUCAAGUUUUUAGAUGAGUGGGUCUUGGUUCUUGAUUGUUAUCAAGAUCAAGAGAUUUAUCAAUUCUAAAAAAGAUUGAUCCCCCUAAUUGACCCCAAUAAUGGUAUUAGAGUGGCUCGAGUGAAAAUAACGGCUCAUUUGUAUCGAAAGUAUCCCCACAUGGUCAUGGAUAGAGUGUUCCAUUGAAAAAGUGUCAACGACGAUACAUGUUUAUGUGGACAAAAGAAGUUUUCACUUGAGGGGGAGCAUCGUAGAUAGACUCACACUUGAGAGAGAAUGUUAGAAUAAUAAGUGUGAGUUGUAUGGAGAAGUCCCACAUUGGUUAGAAAUAUGGAGACUUCAACAUUUAUAAGUGCGAGAACUCACAUACAAUUCUCUCACAAAGGCGUGUUGCUCUUAAAGAAAAGUCCUAAAGUGUAAAAAAUGCUCCCUCGUGUUUAACCCUCUGAAUUGACCCUAACAUUUUUUACUUCUGCUUUCAUACCAUCAGUACACAGAGCACCUCAUCAU